This 254-nucleotide ribosomal RNA is filed under the name uncultured bacterium. RNAcentral describes it as "partial small subunit ribosomal RNA". It matches the Rfam family "Bacterial small subunit ribosomal RNA", at positions 26 to 285 of the family's 1533-position model. The record is from RNAcentral.
AGGACGAACGCUGGCGGCGUGCUUAACACAUGCAAGUCGAGCGGAAAGGCCCUUCGGGGUACUCGAGCGGCGAACGGGUGAGUAACACGUGAGUAACCUGCCCCUAGCUCUGGGAUAGCUCCGGGAAACCGGGAUUAAAUACCAGAUACGACCACUUUAGGCAUCUGUCGUGGUGGAAAGGAUUCCGGCUAGGGAUGGGCUCGCGGCCUAUCAGCUUGUUGGUGGGUAACGGCCUACCAAGGCGACGACGGGUA